GGAGCCGAGCUGGAGCUGGAGCACCUCUCACACCCUCCUCGCCCUCCCCACCGACAUCAUGCUCCAGUUCCUGGUGAGUGGGGCCUCGGAGGAUCGGGCCUCGCGGUCGCCUCGUUCCCCCGGGGUCCCGGGUCGGCGGUGCACGGCUCUGCAGUUGGGGCUCGUCGCCCUCGGGUUUGCUCGCGCAGUUUUCCUCUGGCCUCCUCCUAAGUCCUUGGGUCUUUGCCUGGGUUUGUUUAUAUGUAGUCCUUCAAGUUCCGAAAACUUUGGGGUGUCAGUGAUAUGACUGCGUUUUCAAAAAACCACUUACUGUGAGCUCUUGGCGAAAUCUUCGCGCUUGGAUUUACUUUGGGCAACGUGGUUGGAAUGUAUCUGGCUCAGAACUAUGAAAUGCCAAACCUGGCUAAAAAACUUGAAGAGAUUAAGAAGGACCUGGAAGCCAAGAAGAAGCCCCCUAGUUCCUGAUGCCUGCCUGGCACUGCAAUCUGGACCCACCAGUUCCAUCCUGGGGGGCCUGUCUCCUUCACAGCCACGUCCAAAGCUGUGUUCCUCUUUGGUCUCAGACCCUGCGCGUUGCUGAGGCUCCAGCACGGGCCAGAAGUGGAGUUAGCUUUCCGUUUCCAGCAUCUCCCCGUUCCCGUAUCUUCCGUCCACCUGCUUCUGAGACCUAAGCCUGGAACCAUGGUGCUAGGUUAGCAGCCGCAACCAUGACAGGACUCACUCGCCUGUGCUCUGGGAUUCCUACCGCCUACUGUCAAGAAAUGAAUGGAUUUGGAUAGCUGCUGGGGACUCACUGUCUAGCAGUGAUAACAGGAGCUUGCUAGACAAACUAAACUGUGUUAAAGUCAUUAAAGUCAGUAUCUUCAAGCCA
Mus musculus (house mouse) is the source of this 871-nucleotide RNA transcript. It is a transcript of the gene named short transmembrane mitochondrial protein 1, with no coding region annotated. The record is from RefSeq and is marked validated. NCBI's taxonomy places the organism in Eukaryota, Metazoa, Chordata, Mammalia, Rodentia, Muridae. The transcript is spliced from 3 exons.